UGGGGAAUUUUGGACAAUGGGCGAAAGCCUGAUCCAGCAAUGCCGCGUGUGUGAAGAAGGCCUUCGGGUUGUAAAGCACUUUUGUCCGGAAAGAAAUCCUUGGCUCUAAUACAGUCGGGGGAUGACGGUACCGGAAGAAUAAGCACCGGCUAACUACGUGCCAGCAGCCGCGGUAAUACGUAGGGUGCAAGCGUUAAUCGGAAUUACUGGGCGUAAAGCGUGCGCAGGCGGUUUGCUGAGACCGAUGUGAAAUCCCCGGGCUCAACCUGGGAACUGCAUUGGUGACUGGCAGGCUAGAGUAUGGCAGAGGGGGGUAGAAUUCCACGUGUAGCAGUGAAAUGCGUAGAGAUGUGGAGGAAUACCGAUGGCGAAGGCAGCCCCCUGGGCCAAUACUGACGCUCAUGCACGAAAGCGUGGGGAGCAAACAGGAUUAGAUACCCUGGUAGUCCACGCCCUAAACGAUGUCAACUAGUUGUUGGGGAUUCAUUUCCUUAGUAACGUAGCUAACGCGUGAAGUUGACCGCCUGGGGAGUACGGUCGCAAGAUUAAAACUUAAAUGAAUUGACGGGGUCAUAGCUGUUUCCU
This 585-nucleotide ribosomal RNA is filed under the name uncultured bacterium. Its description in RNAcentral is "partial 16S ribosomal RNA". It matches the Rfam family "Bacterial small subunit ribosomal RNA", at positions 355 to 1375 of the family's 1533-position model. The record is from RNAcentral.